Anguilla rostrata (American eel) is the source of this 1552-nucleotide long non-coding RNA. RefSeq lists it as uncharacterized. The record is from RefSeq and is a predicted model, not a curated record. The transcript has 3 exons. NCBI's taxonomy places the organism in Eukaryota, Metazoa, Chordata, Actinopteri, Anguilliformes, Anguillidae.
CACACAGCCCAUUAUCCUUUCAGCUGCCCAAACGACAGAACCUUCCGCUGGUACCUCCGGAGCAGUUCCCCUCAAAGGAAGAGGUUCUCCAUUCAGAUGUUCACCAUGUCUGACCACUCCCACAUCUACCUUCACUGCCUGAGCAGAAUAUGCAGCCAAGAUGAGAACUGCACAACGAACUGCUCUCCCAGGCAAAACCAAAAGGUGAGAAGAGAUCUACCGGACAAACUCACAGCUAUUCUUUCAGCAGGACCCAUCUCUGCAGCAAAGAGGAAACUGACAAACUGGCCUGGAGCCCAGAUCAUGCUAUCAGUGGCCGGAGGAUUGAUUGGAUUCUUUUUUCUAACAGCACUGGGUGUGCGUGCAGCACACGCUAUAACACAGCGCAACCCCAGACAUCAAUAAAAUAUGUAUACCUGCACUGUUUAGUCCGUCCUCUCUGUGCUACUGUACAAACAGCACUGUGUCCUUAUUCUCUCUGUGCUACUGUGUACAAACAGCACUGUGUCCUUAUUCUCUCUGUGCUACUGUGCACAGACAGCUCUGUGUCCUUAUUCUCCCUGUGUAACUAUGUACAGACAGCACUGUGUCCUUAUUCUCCCUGUGUAACUGUGUACAGACAGCACUGUGUCCUUAUUCUCCCUGUGUAACUGUGUACAGACAGCACUGAGUCAUUAUUCUCUCAGUGUAACUGUGUACAAACAGGCACUGUUUCAAACACUGCAAUCUAGAGAUAAGGAGGGCAUCUGAUUUUGGUGUCCUCCCCUCUAACUGACUCUCUGGUUGUGUUCCAACCUUUAUACUCUAUAACUUUGGCAGUGCGCCACCAUGACAUAGCUGUUCAAUGCGUGAAAUUUUUUGGUCAAACCUGUCCGUGGUUUUACAGAAGAUAUUGUAGCCGAUUAGGUGAACGUGCAGAUGGUACAUCAUAAUGCAGUGUAUACGUUCGGUGAAAGCUGGGUAGAUUUGGUGCAAAAGCAAUUGUUGAUAAGUAAUAGGCAAAUAUUAGUGAGCAAAAAAGCACAGUUCAGAAACUUGCUUCCGGCAGGGCAUGAACCAGGGUCCCUGCGAUCUAUAGACCAUGACAUUGACCACUCCGCCACAAAGGAACUAGCUGUUGAGACAGGAAAUGUUUUAGAGUAAAAAGAUAUGUCUAUUUUGCAUGUGUAUGUGAGAUUUUGAUUGGAUCGUGUUGGAGAAGGAUUGGCUGGUGUUGGUAAAAUGUCCAAUGGGGAGACAUUUUGUUUGUAGGCUAGGCGGCAGGAAGGAGGAGAAGGAGAAAACGCAAAAUCCCCUUAGUUUGGGGCUUUAUUGUGUGGACGUGUGAAGUUGUUUAUGAAUUCUGUCUGUUGAAAUGGGGUCAGAAUGUACAGAAAUUAAUGUUUUUAAGGGCUGAGUGUCUAUGGCUGUUGUGGUUAUAUUUGUGGGGAACCCUGAAAAGUGUCGGUGCUGUAUAGGUAUGGGGCAUGCCGCCCCGCCAAGGUGUAAUGUGGCCGGAUGGCAUACCUGCCAUCCCAAUGAAGAAAGAAAAAUAAAAAUGUAACUAGCUAUC